AGCAGCGCGCUCGUGCAUAUCUAUCUGCCAACUUCAGAAGACCAAUACUGAAAGAUUUCAACUUCCAAGAAGAAGAAAACACUGAUGGCAUUUGACAAGUCAAAGUGUGCUGAGGCAAAGCCUCAAGCCGUGUGGUGUGAUCGGGCUGGCAGUUCAACACUCGUGGAGUUCAGAGAAAGAAUGAGCUCUCAUACUCGAGUGCU
This is a long non-coding RNA of Carassius auratus (goldfish), 203 nucleotides long. RefSeq lists it as uncharacterized. The record is from RefSeq and is a predicted model, not a curated record. NCBI's taxonomy places the organism in Eukaryota, Metazoa, Chordata, Actinopteri, Cypriniformes, Cyprinidae. The transcript has 2 exons.